Molecule: non-coding RNA, 72 nt
Organism: Chytridium lagenaria
Lineage: Eukaryota; Fungi; Chytridiomycota; Chytridiomycetes; Chytridiales; Chytridiaceae
Source: the annotation of a GenBank genome assembly
GCCUCUUUAACUCAGUGGUAGAGUGUCAGUCUUCUAAACUGGAGGUCGUGAGUUCGAACCUCACAAGAGGCU